Molecule: ribosomal RNA, 253 nt
Filed under: Bdelloidea environmental sample
Lineage: Eukaryota; Metazoa; Rotifera; Eurotatoria
Description: partial large subunit ribosomal RNA
Rfam family: Eukaryotic large subunit ribosomal RNA
Source: RNAcentral
AUAUUAAUAAGCAAGGGAAAAGAAAUCAACUGAGAUUGCCUUAGUAAUGGCGAAUGAACCGGCAAGAGCUCAUUGCUGAAGCGUGUUAAAUUCACUUUUGACAUGCAUUGUAGCAUUUGGGGUAACUAUUGUAUGGUACCUGUUCGUGUGAGUUCCCUUGAUCAGGGCUUUAACCAUAGAAGGUGCUAGUCCUAUAAUCACGAAUAGUUUUGUGCUGUACAUUGUAUACCUUUCGAGUAGCGUAGUUUGAGUA